This 253-nucleotide ribosomal RNA is filed under the name uncultured bacterium. RNAcentral describes it as "partial 16S ribosomal RNA". It matches the Rfam family "Bacterial small subunit ribosomal RNA", at positions 524 to 776 of the family's 1533-position model. The record is from RNAcentral.
UACGUAGGGGGCAAGCGUUGUCCGGAUUUAUUGGGCGUAAAGAGCGUGUAGGCGGCCAGGUAGGUCUGCUGUGAAAACUCGAGGCUUAACCUCGAGAUGUCGGCGGAAACCAUCUGGCUAGAGUCCGGAAGAGGAGAAUGGAAUUCCCGGUGUAGCGGUGAAAUGCGCAGAUAUCAGGAGGAACACCAAUAGCGAAGGCAGCUCGCUGGGACGGUACUGACGCUAAGGCGCGAAAGCGUGGGGAGCGAACAGG